UACGAAGGGGGGCGAGCGUUGUUCGGAAUUACUGGGCGUAAAGCGUGCGCAGGCGGUUUUGUAAGUUUGUCGUGAAAGCCCCGGGCUCAACCUGGGAAUUGCGAUGAAGACUGCAAGGCUUGAAUCUGGCAGAGGGGGGUAGAAUUCCACGUGUAGCAGUGAAAUGCGUUAGAGAUGUGGAGGAACACCGAUGGCGAAGGCAGCCCCCUGGGUCAAGAUUGACGCUCAUGCACGAAAGCGUGGGGGAGCAAACAGG
This 256-nucleotide ribosomal RNA is filed under the name uncultured bacterium. RNAcentral's name for it is "partial 16S ribosomal RNA". It matches the Rfam family "Bacterial small subunit ribosomal RNA", at positions 524 to 776 of the family's 1533-position model. The record is from RNAcentral.